Molecule: unclassified non-coding RNA, 318 nt
Filed under: Bombus terrestris (buff-tailed bumblebee)
Lineage: Eukaryota; Metazoa; Arthropoda; Insecta; Hymenoptera; Apidae
Description: misc RNA ENSBTSG00005029048.1
Source: RNAcentral
CCGAUUAAAGGUUUGCUUUAAAACAAUUAUCUCUGGAAGCAAGGUAUGUGCGAUAUCCUGCGGUGAAAUUUCAAUUUUAAUUUAUGGACCGAAGGGUGAAUUACUCUUUAUUACGUGACGAUGGUGUAUGCUAAUUUGAGUCGCAUCGGUAAUAUGUAAUGGCGAUCGUAAAUUUUAGGUUGUUCUUUGAUAAAUCAGUCACGUUUUUGUGCCAGGAUUUAAAUCAGACACGAGAUACAAAUGUAUAACCGUUUCAUCAUUGAUGAAAUCUCUAGAUAUGAAAACAAUUUUGUUCGUUCUUUUUAACAAUAGAUAUUU